This is a non-coding RNA of Danio rerio (zebrafish), 275 nucleotides long. Lineage: Eukaryota; Metazoa; Chordata; Actinopteri; Cypriniformes; Danionidae. The record is from RefSeq and is a predicted model, not a curated record.
UUCAAUAAGAGAAUUCAUUCAUUCAUUUUAAGAGAAUUAACUGCACAAUUACUUGAAAUGUGUGGCAUUACAUUAUUUGUUAACCCAAAGUGAGUUUCUCUUUCUUUGCAGUAUUGGAUGCCUGAUUGCAGUUCAACUCUAAACUCAGUUGGACCAGAUGAUCAGUGUCUUCAGUAUUACCACAAGCUACUGGGCAGAUGUGUGGACAGCUAUGAGCCAAACUUGGGACGUUUGGUUUUUAGCAGGUGGAGAGACCGUCUGGGCAGCAGAAACAA